Molecule: ribosomal RNA, 484 nt
Filed under: uncultured bacterium
Lineage: Bacteria
Description: partial 16S ribosomal RNA
Rfam family: Bacterial small subunit ribosomal RNA
Source: RNAcentral
GACGAACGCUGGCGGCGUGCUUGACACAUGCAAGUCGAACGAUGAAGCUGGAGCUUGCUCCGGUGGAUUAGUGGCGAACGGGUGAGAAACACGUGAGCAAUCUGCCCUUGACUCUGGGAUAACUGCGGGAAACUGUAGCUAAUACCGGAUACUUUCACUGGAAGGCAUCUUCUGGUGAAGAAAGAAUUUCGGUCAAGGAUGGGCUCGCGGCCUACCAGCUUGUUGGUGAGGUAACGGCUCACCAAGGCGACGACGGGUAGCCGGCCUGAGAGGGUGACCGGCCACACUGGGACUGAGACACGGCCCAGACUCCUACGGGAGGCAGCAGUGGGGAAUAUUGCACAAUGGGCGCAAGCCUGAUGCAGCAACGCCGCGUGAGGGAUGAAGGCCUUCGGGUUGUAAACCUCUUUUAGCAGGGAAGAAGCGAAAGUGACGGUACCUGCAGAAAAAGCACCGGCUAACUACGUGCCAGCAGCCGCCGUAA